CCUCCUUCCCCAGCUGCCAUCGGGGCUCCCUGCCUGUCUGCCGGCCUGCCUGCCUUCUUUCCUCGCGGAGGAAGGAAGGUCCGGGCCGCGGUCGGAGAAGCUCUCUGGUCCCUUCGCUCGCGCUGUGCACUUUUCCCAUCCGCGAUCGGGAUUGGAGAGUUUUGGCGCGUCCCGAUGAUUUGGGGACGAAUCCCUCUAAUUCACUGAAUGGAUGAUUAAGUAAACCACAAUUUUGGCUCCCUAGCUUUGGAUCUGACACCGGAGAAAAGUAACCAGCCUCUUUCUAGGCAGUGGGUGAAGCAGUGUAUGGACCUAAAAAAGAUAGAAAGAUUUUGAAUAACACUUCUUAACCAGAAAGGGCAUAGAGGUAGUGGGGAUGGAUGGAUGGCUGUUUCUCUGCCUAAAUUAAGAACACAGAAAUGCUGAUGGUUGGCUUGGUUUCCUGCGUGACCCAACAAAAGCGCGAACGUCAAAAGCGCGCUGACA
Non-coding RNA from Thamnophis sirtalis, 486 nucleotides. The record is from RefSeq and is a predicted model, not a curated record. Lineage: Eukaryota; Metazoa; Chordata; Lepidosauria; Squamata; Natricidae.